CAGUAGCCGCGGUAAUACGUAGGGUGCGAGCGUUAAUCGGAAUUACUGGGCGUAAAGCGGGCGCAGACGGUUACUUAAGCAGGAUGUGAAAUCCCCGGGCUCAACCUGGGAACUGCGUUCUGAACUGGGUGACUAGAGUGUGUCAGAGGGAGGUAGAAUUCCACGUGUAGCAGUGAAAUGCGUAGAGAUGUGGAGGAACACCGAUGGCGAAGGCAGCCCUCUGGGCCAAUACUGACGCUCAUGCACGAAAGCGUGGGGAGCAAACAGGAUUAGAUACCCGCGUAGUCCCUGUCUCUUAUAC
Molecule: ribosomal RNA, 301 nt
Filed under: uncultured bacterium
Lineage: Bacteria
Description: partial 16S ribosomal RNA
Rfam family: Bacterial small subunit ribosomal RNA
Source: RNAcentral